Molecule: unclassified non-coding RNA, 253 nt
Filed under: uncultured Bradymonadales bacterium
Lineage: Bacteria; Deltaproteobacteria; Bradymonadales
Description: contains 16S-23S intergenic spacer region
Rfam family: Bacterial small subunit ribosomal RNA
Source: RNAcentral
UACGGAGGGUGCAAGCGUUGUUCGGAAUUAUUGGGCGUAAAGCGCGCGCAGGCGGCCGACCAAGUCUGGUGUGAAAUCCCGGGGCUCAACCCCGGAAUGGCACUGGAAACUGGCCGGCUUGAGUCCGAGAGGGGUAUGUGGAAUUCCUGGUGUAGGAGUGAAAUCCGUAGAGAUCAGGAGGAACACCGGUGGCGAAGGCGACAUACUGGAUCGGAACUGACGCUGAGGCGCGAAAGCGUGGGGAGCAAACAGG